AGAACAAAUCAUUUGUAUUUUUUUAAUCUUGGCAUACAUUUAUUAUUUGAAAAUUGCAAACAUGUAUACAGUAUGGCUCAAUGAUACUUACCCUCUACACUCUUCUGCUCCAUCUUUCUAUGCCCCACAACACGUCUCCAUGCCAGCUUAAUGUCCUAGGAAUGAGUUUUGUUAGCCUGCAAAUAUCCACUUAGCCUGUACUAUCUCUAAUCCUUAAAAAAUCAUCCCAACUGAGAUGUGCAGAUAAUUCCCUAAUAAGAAGAAAUGAGAAAGAUUUGGAUGCCAUAUUUAAAUGGUGGAUUUCCUGAGUCCCUGAGAAGCUCAUUCUUCCCAAAGACUCCCCCUUUUUUUCUGGAAUAAAUAACAAGUUUUCAAGGUGUGCUGUGUGCUGGGGCUCUCAUUCUGUGACAACAUCUGCAUUGCUAAUGGAUGUGACUCUUUCUUAUGCAUGCUCUUUCCUGAGCAUCCACCUUCAUAUCUGUACUCUUCUCCCUUAUCAUCCCCAAGUAGAGUUCGUAGGGGUGGGGGCAGUAACAUAGGUGGGGAAGGGAUUCAACAACAUGUUGAAAGUGAAGGAAAAGCUCUUACAUUAGGAGAGACUAACAUGGAAACCCCUGAUAGCAUUUACCCACAGACUAUUCAAGUCUUAAGAAAGCAAAUUAGAAACCAGGGUUUGAUUGCCUCUCCAGUAAAGAGCAGAGGAUUUUACUGUCCUUGUUAUUAUGGCAUACCAUAAUCGAAAAAGUGAUCAUGCUAAAUUAAUGCUGUGGUACACGGAGUGGAUAUGCUGAACUAAUAAUGUAACGGGCACAGAGAGUUCCUAGGCCAUCUUGUUGAUGUAUCUUGCUGAUACCUUCUAACAAAGUAUGUGUGUUGAAUGCUUAGUCCUCAGCUGGUAAGGCUAACCGAAAGGUUGUACAGACACAACCCAGGAAUAUCGUGUCUCUGCUCAUUUCAGCGCCUCUCUCUGCUUCCUGGCUACAAAUACAUGUGAUGCUCUCCACUGCCAAACCCUCUUAGUCACCAUUAACUGCUACUUCUAAAACUGUGAGCCCAAGUCAAUCUUACCUCCUUAAGUUGUUUCUGUUGGGUAUUUUGGACAUUGUUGUACAGAAGUUCGUAUGUCCACGUCUCUCUCCAAUUCCCCAUGGUCAUAGCUAAGGUUGGUGGAAGAUCAGAGAGCUGGGGUGCCAGAGCCAGAGCUAGUCAGUAAAUAGCUCUGUUGGGACAGCUAAUCAUGAGUAUUAUAGAAAAACAGAACUCCUAGCCCUUGUUGUACUUUCCGGGCUUUGGGCUGGGGUUGGGGAGUUGCUAUUUAAUCCACGCAUUCACUUGCUUAUUGAGCUUUGCAUGCUCCACACAAAGCUCAGUUGGACACACCCAAGUAAGUGGGUGUGCUUUGUGUGUUCUGAAUCAGUGAUCUCAAUACUAAGAGGUAGGAUCAGCUCUGUGUGCAACUGGGGAGGAUGAAGCAAGGAAGUGCAACGAUUUUUAGGGCCUUGUCUCCUUUCUGCCCUUUAUUCUGUAUCUCCUAUGUGUAUCACUCUCCAAGGGGUCAGAGCUGCAUCCCAGAAACCAGUAUCAAUUCCGCCUGUGUCCUCUUAUGCAGAGAAGGAGAAAGUACUGCUUUAUGUUAGAUAUCUCACGAACUUUAGUUUAGGCUUUGUUCUCCCUUUCAUUGUCUAUAUAGGAAACAAGCCUCAAUCUCCCUCCCCCUCCCUCUACUCUCUCUCUUACUCACUCACUCAAAGAAAGAACUCCAUUAGGGAAUUUGUGCUGUGUACACGUGACUUGGCAAUCCCACCUUCGGAAGCUCUAUUAGGCUAAUAAUCUAUGUUUGAAGAACAAUUGGCAUCUAGGGCUUUGCUAAUGCUGGGGCUGUUAGCAUAUUAGUUCCAUUUGUGAUGGGUAAGUGCUUUUGGAAAUGAUAAGACUUAUCUAAUAAAAUUUAUUUUUAAACUAUUAGUCACAGCCUUUUUUUCCAAGAGAUCCUGUCACCUGUCCCUCCUGUUACACAAGAGUGGAGAAGGGACUCUUGGGGUUUACCUGGUUAUUAGUAUUUGAAGACUGCUGUCAAAGUCUCUUCCGUUUCCGUGCCAGUUCCACAUGAGGCAUUACAAAUGUGUUUACACUUUUCCCUUUACUUUGCAUUAUUAGUAGAAGAUGCUUAGAAAACAGAUGAAUUAAAGUUGGGUUUGGUGUAGGUAUGUCUGUACGUUUUUUAAAUUCCCACUGUUUUUUUUUGGGGGGGGGGAGUCUGAGUCAGGAGGAUAGAGAAUUAAACUAGCCUAUGCUAUACAAUGCAUAGUGAGCUCUGUGUUACCAGCUUGGAUUCCAUAGCACAAACCGAACCUGUCUAAGGUUUUGUUGUUGUUGUUGUUUGUUUGUUUUCUUUGUUUUUUUUUUUGUUUUUUUUUUGUUUGUUUUGUUUUUGCAGAAGCAUUUCUGGCUUCUGUAAAAAGUGAAGAAGUAGCAUAUUGGAGGUCUUAAAAGAUGGUUCAGUGGGUAAGGUUGCCACGCCAUCGUGAAACCAUGAGUUUGGUUCCUCCUACCCACAUAAAAUUAGUCAAGUACAUUAGUGUCCAUAUGAUCUUUGUACUAGAGAGGCAGAGAUAGAAGAAUUCCUAAGACUUGCUGGCUAGGUAAUCUAGCUGAAUCAGCUAGCCCCAGUGAGAGAUCCUACC
Molecule: long non-coding RNA, 2684 nt
Filed under: Mus musculus (house mouse)
Lineage: Eukaryota; Metazoa; Chordata; Mammalia; Rodentia; Muridae
Description: long non-coding RNA chr16:7160582-7163266
Source: RNAcentral